AGUGAUCGCUGGCGGUAGGCCUAACACAUGCUAGUCGAACGGCAGCACAGUAAGAGCUUGCUCUUACGGGUGGCGAGUGGCGGACGGGUGAGGAAUACAUCGGAAUCUACUUUUUCGUGGGGGAUAACGUAGGGAAACUUACGCUAAUACCGCAUACGACCUACGGGUGAAAGCAGGGGAUCUUCGGACCUUGCGCGAUUGAAUGAGCCGAUGUCGGAUUAGCUAGUUGGCGGGGUAAAGGCCCACCAAGGCGACGAUCCGUAGCUGGUCUGAGAGGAUGAUCAGCCACACUGGAACUGAGACACGGUCCAGACUCCUACGGGAGGCAGCAGUGGGGAAUAUUGGACAAUGGGCGCAAGCCUGAUCCAGCCAUACCGCGUGGGUGAAGAAGGCCUUCGGGUUGUAAAGCCCUUUUGUUGGGAAAGAAAAGCAGCAGGUUAAUACCCCGCUGUUCUGACGGUACCCAAAGAAUAAGCACCGGCUAACUUCGUG
This 492-nucleotide ribosomal RNA is filed under the name uncultured bacterium. RNAcentral describes it as "partial 16S ribosomal RNA". It matches the Rfam family "Bacterial small subunit ribosomal RNA", at positions 29 to 507 of the family's 1533-position model. The record is from RNAcentral.